This 405-nucleotide ribosomal RNA is filed under the name uncultured bacterium. Its description in RNAcentral is "bacterial SSU rRNA". It matches the Rfam family "Bacterial small subunit ribosomal RNA", at positions 122 to 518 of the family's 1533-position model. The record is from RNAcentral.
CAACCUGCCUGUAAGCGGGGAAUAACCCGUUGAAAGACGGACUAAUACCGCAUAAUACUAAAUUACUGCAUGGAAUUUAUUUAAACAUUUAUGGCUUACAGAUGGGCAUGCGCAUGAUUAGCUAGUUGGAGAGGUAACGGCUCCCCAAGGCAACGAUCAUUAGGGGUUCUGAGAGGAAGGUCCCCCCACACUGGUACUGAGACACGGACCAGACUCCUACGGGAGGCAGCAGUGAGGAAUAUUGGUCAAUGGACGAGAGUCUAGAACCAGCCAAGUCGCGUGCAGGAAGAAUUCGUCCUAGUGGAUUAGUAAACUGUCUUUUGCGAGGGGAAUAAAGUACAUCACGUGUGAUGUUUUGUAUGUACUCUGCGAAUAAGGAUCGGCUAACUCCGUGCCAGCCGCCGC